CCUGAGAAACCCAAAAGAUCGAAUGGGGAGAUUCAUCGUCAGCGAUUUUGGUACGUGUGCGGUUCGCGAUGCCGGAGACGCAAGUCUCACGGUACGCGUCCGUAUGUUUUUUAUUGCCUCAAUCGUCGGCGUGCACUUCUCCCCUAGUAGGACGUCGCGACCCGUUGGGUGUCGGUCUACGGCCCGGUGGGUAGCCUGUCUCGUGUGGCGCUUGCGUCACGCGGUUCAGACCCCCGGUCGCCCGACCGGCUGCCCGGCGGUACUCGCACGGUAUCUGGCCGCAAAUAUUCGAACUGCGUCCGGCCCGUCGCAAGCGAGGCAAGUGUUUCCCGGCUGUACGGAUCUAAUGCCGUCACCGGGCCUUGCCAGCUGUUGGCUGACGGUGUCCUAGGACAGGCUAACAAAAAUUAUGAUACCGGUCGGCGACGCUACUGCUUUGGGUACUUUCAGGACCCGUCUUGAAACACGGACCAAGGAGUCUAACAUGUGCGCGAGUCAUUGGGAACUAUUAAGCCUAAAGGCGCAAUGAAAGUGAAGGUCGGCCUUGCGCCGACCGAGGGAGGAUGGSCCGCGUCACGAUGCGGUCCCGCACUCCCGGGGCGUCUCGUUCUCAUUG
Molecule: ribosomal RNA, 616 nt
Filed under: Aptesis nigrocincta
Lineage: Eukaryota; Metazoa; Arthropoda; Insecta; Hymenoptera; Ichneumonidae
Description: eukaryotic LSU rRNA
Rfam family: Eukaryotic large subunit ribosomal RNA
Source: RNAcentral